This 441-nucleotide ribosomal RNA is filed under the name uncultured bacterium. Its description in RNAcentral is "bacterial SSU rRNA". It matches the Rfam family "Bacterial small subunit ribosomal RNA", at positions 30 to 483 of the family's 1533-position model. The record is from RNAcentral.
AUUGAACGCUGGCGGCAUGCCUUACACAUGCAAGUCGAACGGCAGCACGGGAGCAAUCCUGGUGGCGAGUGGCGAACGGGUGAGUAAUAUAUCGGAACGUGCCCAGUAGUGGGGGAUAGCCCGGCGAAAGCCGGAUUAAUACCGCAUACGACCUACGGGUGAAAGCGGGGGAUCGCAAGACCUCGCGCUAUUGGAGCGGCCGAUAUCAGAUUAGCUAGUUGGUGGGGUAAAGGCCUACCAAGGCGACGAUCUGUAGCUGGUCUGAGAGGACGACCAGCCACACUGGGACUGAGACACGGCCCAGACUCCUACGGGAGGCAGCAGUGGGGAAUUUUGGACAAUGGGCGCAAGCCUGAUCCAGCCAUGCCGCGUGUGGGAAGAAGGCCUUCGGUUGUAACCGACUUUAGUCUAGGAAGAACGGACGUCUUACUAAUAUUAGAG